CAGGCUUAACACAUGCAAGUCGAGCUUCAGCAUGGUCUUAGCUUGCUAAGGCCGAUGGCGACCGGCGCACGGGUGAGUAACACGUAUCCAACCUGCCGUCUACUCUUGGACAGCCUUCUGAAAGGAAGAUUAAUACAAGAUGGCAUCAUGAGUCCGCAUGUUCACAUGAUUAAAGGUAUUCCGGUAGACGAUGGGGAUGCGUUCCAUUAGAUAGUAGGCGGGGUAACGGCCCACCUAGUCUUCGAUGGAUAGGGGUUCUGAGAGGAAGGUCCCCCACAUUGGAACUGAGACACGGUCCAAACUCCUACGGGAGGCAGCAGUGAGGAAUAUUGGUCAAUGGGCGAGAGCCUGAACCAGCCAAGUAGCGUGAAGGAUGACUGCCCUAUGGGUUGUAAACUUCUUUUAUAAAGGAAUAAAGUCGGGUAUGGAUGCCCGUUUGCAUGUACUUUAUGAAUAAGGAUCGGCUAACUCCGUGCCAGCAGCCGCGGUAAUACGGAGGAUCCGAGCGUUAUCCGGAUUUAUUGGGUUUAAAGGGAGCGUAGAUGGAUGUUUAAGUCAGUUGUGAAAGUUUGCGGCUCAACCGUAAAAUUGCAGUUGAUACUGGAUAUCUUGAGUGCAGUUGAGGCAGGCGGAAUUCGUGGUGUAGCGGUGAAAAUGCUUACAUAUCACGAAAACCUCCCAUUGCGAAGGCAGCCUGCUAAGCUGCAACUGACAUGGAGGCUCGAAAGUGUGGGUAUCAAACAGGAUUAGAUACCCUGGUAGUCCACACGGUAAACGAUGAAUACUCGCUGUUUGCGAUAUACUGCAAGCGGCCAAGCGAAAGCGUUAAGUAUUCCACCUGGGGAGUACGCCGGCAACGGUGAAACUCAAAGGAAUUGACGGGGGCCCGCACAAGCGGAGGAACAUGUGGUUUAAUUCGAUGAUACGCGAGGAACCUUACCUGGGCUUAAAUUGCAGAUGAAUUACGGUGAAAGCCGUAAGCCGCAAGGCAUCUGUGAAGGUGCUGCAUGGUUGUCGUCAGCUCGUGCCGUGAGGUGUUGGCUUAAGUGCCAUAACGAGCGCAACCCUUGUUGUCAGUUACUAACAGGUUCCGCUGAGGACUCUGACAAGACUGCCAUCGUAAGAUGUGAGGAAGGUGGGGAUGACGUCAAAUCAGCACGGCCCUUACGUCCGGGGCUACACACGUGUUACAAUGGGGGGUACAGAGGGCCGCUACCACGCGAGUGGAUGCCAAUCCCCAAAACCUCUCUCAGUUCGGACUGGAGUCUGCAACCCGACUCCACGAAGCUGGAUUCGCUAGUAAUCGCGCAUCAGCCACGGCGCGGUGAAUACGUUCCCGGGCCUUGUACACACCGCCCGUCAAGCCAUGGGAGCCGGGGGUACCAGAAGUGCGUAACCGCGAGGAGCGCCCUAGGGUAAAACUGGUAA
This 1428-nucleotide ribosomal RNA is filed under the name uncultured organism. RNAcentral's name for it is "16S ribosomal RNA". It matches the Rfam family "Bacterial small subunit ribosomal RNA". The record is from RNAcentral.